GAGUAUGGCGAUGUUUGCGGUUAUCAUAUUGAGUAUGGCGAGGUUUACGGUCAUCAUAUCGUGGAGUAUGGCGAGGUGUACGGUCAUCAUAUCGUGGAGUAUGGCGAGGUGUACGGUCAUCAUAUCGUGGAGUAUGGCGAGGUGUACGGUCAUCAUAUCGUGGAGUAUGGCGAGGACUGCGGUCAUCAUAUUGAGUAUUGCGAGAUCCAUCGUCAGGAU
Procambarus clarkii (red swamp crayfish) is the source of this 219-nucleotide non-coding RNA. NCBI's taxonomy places the organism in Eukaryota, Metazoa, Arthropoda, Malacostraca, Decapoda, Cambaridae. The record is from RefSeq and is a predicted model, not a curated record.